AUCGUAUAUAAACUUGUGUCACAUGGUGAUGAUCAGGCAGAAUUCAAACACUGAAAAGUCUGAGCUGUGGCAGUCUCUGGCUUUGUGUGAUUGCCAAAAAAACUCCAGCAUGGAACACUAGGUAGCAUCUUAACCUCUAGUUUCUGCUUGUAAUGAUUACAUGGUGCUGUUUCAUGGCAAUUUUGAGGUUAUUUGAAGGACUCUGGAGAAAGGAGCCUGAAUGGCAUGUAGCAUUGGAAUGGACCCAGAAACUGCUGGAAGAUGCAAGAGGAUUCACAGGGAAGAAGUGCAGAGGGCAAUGGAGAGAAGCCAAAGUGAACAAGCAUGGAGUGCAAAGAAUAAACACAGAGGUUACAAGGAAGAUCAAGAUGAAUGAUCAAAGGUGUGGAACAUUUCCAUCUGAGGAGAUAGUAAAUGAAAAGUAAACAGACCAAGAUGUUUCUAUUUGAAGAAAAGGAAAUGCUGGACCUACAUUCAUGACCUUCUUAGCCCUUCUCUACUUUUUAUCUUUUUUUUUUUUUUUUUUUUUUUCCCAACUGGAGAGUUCAGUGUCAGCAAAAUCAAUUAAAAUCUUUCAAUAAUUAUCAGUGACGUUUCUUUUGUUCCUGCUGGUAUUUCCAAAGGGAUUGUCACUGAAGUACACGACCUUUUGUCAA
RNAcentral lists this long non-coding RNA (656 nucleotides) under Junco hyemalis (dark-eyed junco). RNAcentral describes it as "lncRNA (ENSJHYG00000017602.1)". Lineage: Eukaryota; Metazoa; Chordata; Aves; Passeriformes; Passerellidae. The record is from RNAcentral.